This 1069-nucleotide long non-coding RNA is filed under the name Panax ginseng (ginseng). RNAcentral's name for it is "long non-coding RNA (PGIN_LNC016822)". The record is from RNAcentral. Lineage: Eukaryota; Viridiplantae; Streptophyta; Magnoliopsida; Apiales; Araliaceae.
GAGAAUCCAACAUCGAAUUCGGAAUUACCCUGUGCAUAGCGGUCAACCCCAAUUCGAUAUGGAUCGGAGAAUAAUGAUUCAAAUCAUGGAUCAGGAAUGGGACGAAGCACUUAAGGGUGGAAUGUACCCUAUAGCAAAGUUAAAUCCAGUAGUUUAAGUGAGAGCGUUUGUCGAGGAACCCGAACGAAGUUAUUACGGGUAAGUUAAUGAUAAACUCUUGCAAAGUUUAUACCAUAUUAGAUACCAGUUCUACUUACUCUUUUAUUUCACCUAGUUGUGUUCAAUGUUUGAAGUUAACUCCGGAGAAGUUAGACUUUGAUAUAUCUGUUUAAACUCAGUUGGGAGAAACCUUCGUUACCUCUAUUAUUUAUAAAUCUUGUUCAAAUCAACACUUUCACGUUACCUGUCGAUCGUAUCUCUUUGAAAAUAUUUGCCUUUGAUGCGAUUUUAGGAAUCAAUUGGUUAACUAACCAUCAUGUUUUUUGUAAGGUUGUUAGCUUUCAUACUCCUAACCAACCUGUUAUGCGAAUUCAAGUAACCAAACCACUAAAGUCAAUCAUUGUCAUAUCAAGCCAUAAGUAAAGAGCCCCGGUCCUUUCAUUGUUGACUUCCUUGUGUGGAAUGCACCGAAGCCAAACUUUCCGUAGGGGACGUUGUGAAUAACGGUGAUAAGUUAAUAGGUAUCAAUGUGACGUGUUAUCCAAGUCUUGGACGAGAGUCACAGUUUUGAAUGAUAUUUCUAUUGUUAAUAAAUUUUCUGAUGUAUUCUUGAAGACUUCUUAGCCUGCCCCUAGAGCGUGAAAUCGAAUUUUGUAUUGACCCUAGUACAAAACCCAUUUUUAAAACCGUUAAAAAUAUUUCUUCAACUAAAGCGAACGUAACAUGCGCCAAAGACGUUGGCUCAAGCUGUUGAAGAUUACGAUCGUACCAUUCAAUAACAUCGUGGAAAAACGAACGUGGUAGCUGACGCGUUGAGUAGAAGAUCGUAUGCGUUUAUGAGUGCGAUGUUGUUAAUACAAAGGCCCAUUUCGUACGACUUACAAAUGAUGAAGAUAGAGUUAAAGACUCU